GACGAACGCUGGCGGCGUGCUUAACACAUGCAAGUCGAACGGAAAGGCCCUGCUUGCAGGGUACUCUAGUGGCGAACGGGUGAGUAACACGUGUGUGUUCUGCCCUGCACUUCUUGGUAAGCCUUGGAAACUGUGUCUCAUACCGGGUAUAGGCCCUUUUUCUUGUUAUGGUUGGAUAGUUUUUUCGGUGUAGGAUGAGCUCGCUGCCUAUCAGCUUGUUGGUGGGGUAAUGGGCUACCAAGGCGGCGUCGGGUAGCCGGCCUGAGAGGGUGGGCGGCCAAAAUGGGACUGAGAUACGGCCCAGAACUCUAAGGGAGGGAGCAGUGGGGAAGAAUGCACAAAGGGCGCAAGGCUGAUGGAGAGAAGCCGCGGGGGGGAUGAAGGGCUUCGGGGUGGAAAACCGGUUCGGUAGGGAAGAAGGUGUGUGUGACGGUAACUAGAAAAGAAGCACCGGCUAACUACGUG
Molecule: ribosomal RNA, 465 nt
Filed under: uncultured bacterium
Lineage: Bacteria
Description: partial 16S ribosomal RNA
Rfam family: Bacterial small subunit ribosomal RNA
Source: RNAcentral